GACGGAGGAUGCAAGCGUUAUCCGGAAUGAUUGGGCGUAAAGCGUCCGCAGGUGGCAGUUCAAGUCUGCUGUCAAAGACCGGGGCUUAACUUCGGAAAGGCAGUGGAAACUGAACAGCUAGAGUAUGGUAGGGGCAGAGGGAAUUCCUGGUGUAGCGGUGAAAUGCGUAGAGAUCAAGAAGAACAUCGGUGGCGAAGGCGCUCUGCUGGACCAUAACUGACACUCAGGGACGAAAGCUAGGGGAGCGAAUGGG
This 253-nucleotide ribosomal RNA is filed under the name uncultured bacterium. RNAcentral describes it as "partial 16S ribosomal RNA". It matches the Rfam family "Bacterial small subunit ribosomal RNA", at positions 524 to 776 of the family's 1533-position model. The record is from RNAcentral.